RNAcentral lists this ribosomal RNA (441 nucleotides) under Triticum aestivum (bread wheat). Its description in RNAcentral is "partial small subunit ribosomal RNA". The record is from RNAcentral. Lineage: Eukaryota; Viridiplantae; Streptophyta; Magnoliopsida; Poales; Poaceae.
AUGGCGACCGAGCAGCCGUCGGAGAAGAAGAAGCCGCCGCCGGAGAAGAAGGUCCCGCUCCCCAAGGUGGUCACGCUCAACAAGGCGCUCAAGCUGGCCCAGACAUGGGUGGACGAAAUGAGUGCGCUGGAGCAGGAUGAACUGAACGAUAAGGACUUCGAGGGUCGGCCAUCAGGGCUUGGUCUUGGUGCUAAAGUGGCGCCGAAUGCGAAGCGCGCAGCUCCCACUGAUCCAGUGGAGAGGAGGUUGCUUGGAAAGGUGAAUGCGCAGAAGAGGAAGUCUGCGGAGGAGGAUAAAAUAAAUACCCAGGAGGUGAAUGAGGCGAGCGAUGAUGAUAGUGGUGAGCCUCAAGGAGAACACACCAGUAAUUCGAUCAUGAGCUACCAGCAGCAGGGUAUGUACUCCACUCCGGAUUUCGUUUGGAUCGGUUGCUCGCUGUGA